Molecule: long non-coding RNA, 1501 nt
Organism: Neopsephotus bourkii (Bourke's parrot)
Lineage: Eukaryota; Metazoa; Chordata; Aves; Psittaciformes; Psittacidae
Exons: 3
Source: RefSeq, a predicted model, not a curated record
CAAGAAGAGCGGGUGCAACAAGUACGUAAAAAGCUGGAGGAAGCACUAAUGGCAGACAUUUUGACACGAGCAGCUGAUACAACAAAAGAUAUAGAUGUAAAAAUGGAUAAUAGAGAUGAAGUAUAAAAAGAAAUCAGGUACAGUGGAGAUAACUUUUACACAACUAUGAAUACUUUUUUUCAGGUAACUUGUAGACAUAGGAUCGAAGUUUCCAGGCUGUGACCUGUUUAUCAAGGCUGUUGAACAUUUAAACCAGUAUUCAACCCAUAGCAUAGAGGGGUAAUUCCAUGGCAUUUUGGUUCCCUGGUAUAAGAAGAAUAUAAGCCUGGUGCACCCAGAAGCCAGAUGUUGUUUUUGCACUCAGUAUCAGGACUGUGCACUAGGUUACCGCUUCCGAUACAAGGGUGUGUUGCUUGAGUAAAUUCUUAUAAGUAGAAACAAAAUGUGUUUAAAAUGUACAGUCACUUUCAUUACUUAUACUGUCAGUGCCACAUAAAGGAAAACUUGGUCUUUAAAUGUGAACAAAAGCUAUUUCCCAGUGUUGUUUACUGGCAACUUAACAGUCCAGAAAUCUUGAUGAUUUCUGAGCUACUGGAAUCUUUUAAUUACUUUGUUACAGCUAUUUACUAUUAAACUCCUAAUCCCUGAGUAUUUCCCCUAUAAAACUAAUUAUGGAUAGCUUUAAAGGAUGCUAAGAAAGAACAUUAGUUUAAGAUGUGAAAUUUCAAAUAUGUGCCAUUUUAGAAUCAAAUUGUAAUUUUGAUUUUUUUAAAUUUUGAAUAAAAUAAUUAUUUUCUAAUGGAGUCAUAAAUCUGUUUGUAGAAGUGGUUAUUUUUGCACUGGUACUGUAGUUCUCUGCAAAAAUCAGUUGGAUCAGUAGAACUUGAGUUUCGUCAAGUUGUAAACUCAUUACCUUUUUACAUGUAUGUAGCCAGUGUACAUGUAGACAUGCGUGUGUUGGCUGUGUUCUGUAAAACUGCUUUUUUUUUUUUCCCUAGUGGUUUUAAUUAUUGACUUGAACAAGAUUUUUGAGUACUUUUAACUGACUUAUUCCAGGAGGAACUUUGUGAAAGACAGAGGCACCUUCUCCUUCGGUCUUUCAUUAUAAGAAUAAAUGGACCCAUGCACAUUUUUAUAGCUUUCUAAUAUCAUUAAAACCAAUGCCUUUUUUAGACUUCUAUUUUUGAUGUACAUAUCUUACUUGAAAAGCAAUUUUAUUUUGUGUCCUAUGACUUAAAGUCCUUUUUUAAGUAUCAAAUGUUACCCUUAAUCUAAAGCUGAACUUUUGAUGCCAGGUUGCAAACUUACUGGAAUUAUAUUGCCUGUACUAAAUAUUUGCUUUUCCUGUGUUUUUUAGUAACAAUAGAUCAGAAGAACCAAAUAAUUUCCUAAUUCAAGAUUAUUGUGACUCUAUAUAUAAACAGAUUUUUAUACGUAUGGCUGAAAACACCUGUACAUUCUUCUGUCAUCACUGUAAAGAUAAAUAAAUUAUUAUAAUCUA